RNAcentral lists this non-coding RNA (2018 nucleotides) under Pongo abelii (Sumatran orangutan). The record is from RNAcentral. Lineage: Eukaryota; Metazoa; Chordata; Mammalia; Primates; Hominidae.
UUUAAUGUUACUGCUCAUACUCCAAGUUAUAGAAUGCUUAAAAUUAAAUUAUCUGACUUUUAUAAUUCACUACACGGUGAGCUCAAAUUUACCUCAUCAGAAUGUUUAGUACUUCUGCACUUCUCUCACUUCUCAAAGUUUUCCCAUACCAGGAUUCCCACCACCUAGGAACAGCCUUUGCAAGAUUCCAAUGCUCUCUAAAUCCCCAAAGCAGGGUCUAUUUCCUGAUCGAACAAAGAGCAACAAAGAAGUGGGUGGUAACCACCUCUCUGAGGCAAGCCAGGACCCAUGGAGUCUGAUCUACAACACAAGCAGUAGCAGUUCCACGUCUCCCUACCUCCUCUUAUUUCCUACGAAGUCCUUCUGCCUGAAACUGGAAAACCCGAACUAUUAUUGAGGGAGUGAAGCCCUUCCAUUUGAAUCCUGAGAAAGACGCGCUCAAAGAACCCAGCGAACAAAGGAGAGGGUUGGAGCCCACGCAAAACAUGGGUGUGAUAAAGCCACACGAGACUUGAGCCCCCACCCUCAGUAACCACUCUCCAGCGCCCACCCGGGAGGAGGGAUCCGGGGAAAGGAUUGGCAUCUUCUGCUUCUUGAAUCCCCAUGCAGAAAACGUGGCUACCAACAGCUUCUGAAUCCACCUGCAGAGAGACUGACUGCUCUGUUAUUCCCCCAGCAUCUGUGAAGAGGCUCUGACUGGCUAAAAUGUUAGAAGGAGUCUGUAGCUUUAGGGGAAGACAGAGCCACAAGAUGAAAGGAGCUUGGAUGUCUGAACUAUUCCAUGGAGAAAAGCUGCAGCCAAUGAAGAACACCUGCAAUGGACUCUUAACCUGGGGGUGACGACAACCACUGAAAUAUGCUGCAUCUUAGUCCAGGGAUUUUUAAAGUGUGGUUCCUGGAAGAGCUGGAUCAGAGUCAUCUGUGUUGAUGGUUUAACGUAAAGAUUUUCGGGCCCCAAGACUCAAGUAGGACAAGGAAUUUGAAUUUUUAAGCAGCUCACCUGACUUGUCUGUCCUCUAAUGUCUGAGGACAUCUGACCUCUGCUCUUUCAGUAAAAGCAACAAUGGUUUUAUGAGCAUCGUCGUCACAUCUCUCCACUCGAGGGAUCCUUCUCAUUUCUCCCAGCUGAGGUCACCCACAGCUGCUACUUCUAACUGCUGGCUUCCAGCCUGCUGUCUGCCAGCUGGCUCUACCCUCUCCUAUAACACAGCAGAGAGUAGCUGUGGUCUCCUGCGUGCUCACCCUCCGCUCCCUUGGGUCCAUGCUUUGGUCCUGCACUUAAAUUUUACAAGCAUACUCUCUUUCUCUUAAGAUGAAGGAGCUGAGGCUGGAGAAGUUAAGAGACCCCUGCUAGACAGGAAGGCACGUGAGAAGUAUACUGCUCUGUCUCCUGUGGAGUAAAAAGACUUUAGCGUUCUCAGAAGAAAACCAAAUGAGAUCACACGAAUGAGACUGCUGGCUGAAAUCUUUCAGAGACAAGGUUCAAGAGAGCAAGCAAAACAUUACAGGACAAUGAACAGAUCAAGGUAGCCACUCCCAGUCAAGGACUGUAUGAGUUGCCCAGAGCAAGACAUUUUAGGAUAUGGUACAUAGCUGGGAGCCUGCCAACUCCUGGUUUUGUCAUUACCCUCAGAACUCCAGAAUGUAAGCUCCAUGAAGAGGAUGCACCUCCAACAAAACAAUUCUUACAUGGAAUCCUAGGGUCUUUGGAACAUGGUUUGAACACCAACAGCUUUGAGAAGGAAGAGAAAAUCCAGAAGUCAGAAGUGGACCAUGUUGAUCAGGAUCCUACACCCUCCAGUUCACUGGUGAAUAACUUCAUAUUCCUAAAGUUAAGAAGCCUGCCCUGAUGGUCAUUCAGUUACUUUGACCAAUGACCAAACAGAGAGAGGAAGGUAAGUAGUAUUGUUUUCAUUUCUUUAAAAACUUCACUAGGAGGAAACCCCAAGGUAACAAUGACAACAACAAAAAUCUAUUGCAACAUAGCUGAUAGCAAUAAAACCUCUUUUAAAAAAUAA